AUUGCUACUCUAACAACGGCACUGACCUUUCCAUAGUAAUUAGUAAGUGCUAUUUGUUGGGGUAGUUUGA
This 70-nucleotide microRNA precursor is filed under the name Astyanax mexicanus (Mexican tetra). RNAcentral describes it as "miR-430 microRNA precursor family". It matches the Rfam family "miR-430 microRNA precursor family". The record is from Rfam by way of RNAcentral. Lineage: Eukaryota; Metazoa; Chordata; Actinopteri; Characiformes; Acestrorhamphidae.